CCGAUUAGGAGAGCAUAUUAUAGAUAUACUGAAAAGUUGAAGAAUACUUGAAAAACGCGUUAUUAUCCCUAAGGGUUCUUUAAUUUCGGAGCUGUCAAUUUUCAUUGAGAAUUUGCAAGGUAGGGUAAUGAAAGUGACAGUUUUCGUUCCUGCACUUGUGUUAAACAAUUAUUCAUCCACAUUUGAUAAAUACAUGAAUGAAUAAACUAUUAUGUGUAUUUAUUAAAAAAAGAUUGAAAAAUAUUACGUGUGCGUUCAGAAGCAAAAUAUCUCGAAAGUUCAGUAUUACUAUUAAUAAAAAUGCCGCGUCCUAGAAGAUCUAAUCUUUCGCAGCGGACCCGUAAUGCAAUUAGGCAACGAAACAUCGCGUGUCAAUCAUCUGACGAAGACCGAGAAAUCGCCCGAGAAGAGCGCCGCGUUAGUAUG
Drosophila navojoa is the source of this 426-nucleotide long non-coding RNA. RefSeq lists it as uncharacterized. The record is from RefSeq and is a predicted model, not a curated record. NCBI's taxonomy places the organism in Eukaryota, Metazoa, Arthropoda, Insecta, Diptera, Drosophilidae.